GCAAGUCGAACGGCAGCGGGUAGGAAGCUUGCUUCCUAUGCCGGCGAGUGGCGGACGGGUGAGGAACACAUCGGAAUCUACUCCGUCGUGGGGGAUAACGUAGGGAAACUUACGCUAAUACCGCAUACGACCUAAGGGUGAAAGUGGGGGACCGCAAGGCCUCACGCGAUGGAAUGAGCCGAUGUCCGAUUAGCUAGUUGGCGGGGUAAAGGCCCACCAAGGCGACGAUCGGUUGCUGGUCUGAGAGGAUGAUCAGCCACACUGGGACUGAGACACGGCCCAGACUCCUACGGGAGGCAGCAGUGGGGAAUAUUGGACAAUGGGCGAAAGCCUGAUCCAGCCAUGCCGCGUGGGUGAAGAAGGCCUUCGGGUUGUAAAGCCCUUUUGUUGGGGAAGAAAUCCUGCUGGCUAAUACCCGGCGGGGAUGACGGUACCCAAAGAAUAAGCACCGGCUAACUUCGUGCCAGCAGCCGCGGUAAUACGAAGGGUGCAAGCGUUACUCGGAAUUACUGGGCGUAAAGCGUGCGUAGGUGGUGGCUUAAGUCCGUUGUGAAAGCCCUGGGCUCAACCUGGGAAUUGCAGUGGAUACUGGGUCACUAGAGUGUGGUAGAGGGUGGCGGAAUUCCCGGUGUAGCAGUGAAAUGCGUAGAGAUCGGGAGGAACACCCGUGGCGAAAGCGGCCACCUGGGCCAACACUGACACUGAGGCACGAAAGCGUGGGGAGCAAACAGGAUUAGAUACCCUGGUAGUCCACGCCCUAAACGAUGCGAACUGGAUGUUGGGUUCAAUUUGGGACUCAGUAUCGAAGCUAACGCGUUUAAGUUCGCCGCCUGGGGGAGUACGGUCCGCAAGACUGAAACUCAAAGGAAUUGACGGGGGCCCGCACAAGCGGUGGGAGUAUUGUGGUUUAAUUCGAUGCAACGCGAAGAAACCUUACCUUGUCUUGACAUCCGCGAACUG
This 960-nucleotide ribosomal RNA is filed under the name uncultured Aneurinibacillus sp. RNAcentral's name for it is "bacterial SSU rRNA". It matches the Rfam family "Bacterial small subunit ribosomal RNA", at positions 57 to 997 of the family's 1533-position model. The record is from RNAcentral. Lineage: Bacteria; Bacillati; Bacillota; Bacilli; Caryophanales; Paenibacillaceae.